CCUACGGGUGGCAGUAGUGGGGAAUUUUGGACAAUGGGCGAAAGCCUGAUCCAGCCAUGCCGCGUGCAGGAUGAAGGCCUUCGGGUUGUAAACUGCUUUUGUACGGAACGAAAAGACUCUGGUUAAUACCUGGGGUCCAUGACGGUACCGUAAGAAUAAGCACCGGCUAACUACGUGCCAGCAGCCGCGGUAAUACGUAGGGUGCAAGCGUUAAUCGGAAUUACUGGGCGUAAAGCGUGCGCAGGCGGUUAUAUAAGACAGAUGUGAAAUCCCCGGGCUCAACCUGGGAACUGCAUUUGUGACUGUAUAGCUAGAGUACGGCAGAGGGGGAUGGAAUUUCGCGUGUAGCAGUGAAAUGCGUAGAUAUGCGGGGGAACACCGAUGGCGAAGGCAAUCCCCUGGGCCUGUACUGACGCUCAUGCACGAAAGCGUGGGGAGCAAACA
Molecule: ribosomal RNA, 444 nt
Filed under: uncultured prokaryote
Description: bacterial SSU rRNA
Rfam family: Bacterial small subunit ribosomal RNA
Source: RNAcentral